AUACCAGAGGGCACGCACACACACACGCACACACACACACACACACACACACACACACACACACACACACACACACACACACACACACACACACACACCCGUACCAGAGGGCACACACACACACACACACACCCCGGCACACACACACACACACACACCCCGUACCAGAGGGCACGCACACACACACACACACCCCGUACCAGAGGGCACACACACACACACACCCCGUACCAGAGGGCACACACACACACACACCCCGUACCAGAGGGCACGCACACACACACACACACACACACACACACACACACACCGUACCAGAGGGCACGCACACACACACCCCAUACCAGAGGGCACGCACACACACACACCCCGUACCAGAGGGCAC
RNAcentral lists this long non-coding RNA (385 nucleotides) under Salmo salar (Atlantic salmon). RNAcentral's name for it is "lncRNA (ENSSSAG00000085524.1)". The record is from RNAcentral. Lineage: Eukaryota; Metazoa; Chordata; Actinopteri; Salmoniformes; Salmonidae.